GUGGGCACGUUGUCGUCCAGAGAGCAAGAGCGUCGCUCCCCCUCGCCUUCUCGGCCGCCCUCCCGGUUUACCGCCCCCUGUGUCCAGAGAUCACAGAUGGAGAGACAUUUUGCCACACGAUGAAUCACACAAUUUAUAAACUCUCCUCUGUCACUGGCUGCUGAACAGAAGGAACCCUGUGAAAGUUGUGUCAUCGUCCUCAUCAGCAAACAAGCCAUUGAACCUCUCUCCUCCUGUCACCUGCAGCCACAUCUCAUCCCCGAGCUUCAGCUGCAGGACAAUGCUGCCAGAGGCCUGGUCCUCAGAGCUCACGAUCUUAUCAAAUUUAAUGGGCACAUCUGAAGAAGGAAACUUGCUCAGCACCGUGAGCCCCACAGUGAAAGCACUUUUUGGCAAGACUAGAGUCUCACCGAUUUUCCCUUUCUCUCCUCGAUCUCCUUUCCAGCCUCUUAUUCCCCGGACUCCUGGCUCACCCUGGGGCCCCGUGGGUCCAGCUUCUCCCUUGGGACCAGGCUUUCCAAUAGGGCCCAUGGGGCCCGGUAAACCAGUUGGGCCCAAAGGCCCAAUGUUGCCCCUUGGCCCCUCAGGACCAGUGGGACCCACGUCACCCUUAUUCCCCUUCUGCCCCUGAGGCCCAGUCUCUCCUCGGAGGCCUUUCUCUCCCAUGGGCCCUGCAAGCCCCUUGGGGCCAUGUUUUCCUGGGGAUCCUCUUGAGCCUUGAUCACCUUUGAUGCCUUUUGCUUCAACUUUUCCAUCUGCUCCUAAAUAGAGAAAGAGCAAAUAAAGAGAUAGUUUGUGAAAGA
This 803-nucleotide long non-coding RNA is filed under the name Homo sapiens (human). RNAcentral describes it as "prostate and testis expressed opposite C1QTNF9B and MIPEP, transcript variant 3 (PCOTH)". Lineage: Eukaryota; Metazoa; Chordata; Mammalia; Primates; Hominidae. The record is from RNAcentral.